This 434-nucleotide unclassified non-coding RNA is filed under the name Hevea brasiliensis (rubber tree). Lineage: Eukaryota; Viridiplantae; Streptophyta; Magnoliopsida; Malpighiales; Euphorbiaceae. The record is from RNAcentral.
GGACAAUAUAUCUCUGGGUCAGAUGUUAUUGAAGGUUCGUAGCUUAUUUCCAGAGAACUAUUGGUAUUGGAUCGGUGUUGGUGCAUUGAUUGGGUAUAUAAUAGUGUUCAACGUCCUCUUCACGAUAUUUCUGACUUACCUCAACCCAUUAGGGAGCCAGCAAGCAGUUGUUUCAAAGAAAAACACCCAAAACAAGGACAAGGAACAUGAGAGUGAAGAUAACAUUGUUCCAUUUGGAGAGUUUUUGAACCAUUCACACUCAUUCACUGGAAGAGAGAUCAAGAAACGAAGAGGCAUGGUUCUUCCGUUCGAGCCUCUUUCUAUGUGUUUUAAGGAGAUCAGUUACUACGUUGACGUUCCAAUGGAGCUUAAGCUACAGGGGCUAGUAGGAGAUAAACUGCAGUUACUAGUCAAUGUUACUGGUGCAUUUAGGC